Molecule: transfer RNA, 69 nt
Filed under: Typhlias pearsei
Lineage: Eukaryota; Metazoa; Chordata; Actinopteri; Ophidiiformes; Bythitidae
Description: Typhliasina pearsei tRNA-His
Rfam family: tRNA
About the family: Transfer RNA (tRNA) molecules are approximately 80 nucleotides in length. Their secondary structure includes four short double-helical elements and three loops (D, anti-codon, and T loops). Further hydrogen bonds mediate the characteristic L-shaped molecular structure. tRNAs have two regions of fundamental functional importance: the anti-codon, which is responsible for specific mRNA codon recognition, and the 3' end, to which the tRNAs corresponding amino acid is attached (by aminoacyl-tRNA synthetases). tRNAs cope with the degeneracy of the genetic code in two manners: having more than one tRNA (with a specific anti-codon) for a particular amino acid; and 'wobble' base-pairing, i.e. permitting non-standard base-pairing at the 3rd anti-codon position.
Source: RNAcentral
GCAGAUAUAAUUUAACAAAAAUAUUAGAUUGUGAUUCUAAAAAUAGAGGUUAAACCCCUCUUGUCCGCC